Molecule: microRNA, 24 nt
Filed under: Ananas comosus (pineapple)
Lineage: Eukaryota; Viridiplantae; Streptophyta; Magnoliopsida; Poales; Bromeliaceae
Description: microRNA s0794_c109a
Source: RNAcentral
CCGACUCAUCGCGAUAUGUAGAAC